AAUAGCUCAGCUUGGUAGAGCACCUGGUUUGGGACCAGGGGGUCGCAGGUUCGAAUCCUGUUU
Molecule: transfer RNA, 63 nt
Filed under: Latilactobacillus sakei
Lineage: Bacteria; Bacillati; Bacillota; Bacilli; Lactobacillales; Lactobacillaceae
Description: Lactobacillus sakei tRNA-Pro
Rfam family: tRNA
About the family: Transfer RNA (tRNA) molecules are approximately 80 nucleotides in length. Their secondary structure includes four short double-helical elements and three loops (D, anti-codon, and T loops).
Source: RNAcentral